AUGGGCGCAAGCCUGAUCCAGCCAUGCCGCGUGAGUGAUGAAGGCCUUAGGGUUGUAAAGCUCUUUUAUCCGGGACGAUAAUGACGGUACCGGAAGAAUAAGCCCCGGCUAACUUCGUGCCAGCAGCCGCGGUAAUACGAAGGGGGCUAGCGUUGCUCGGAAUCACUGGGCGUAAAGGGCGCGUAGGCGGACAUUUAAGUCAGGGGUGAAAUCCCGGGGCUCAACCUCGGAAUUGCCUUUGAUACUGGGUGUCUCGAGACCGGAAGAGGUAAGUGGAACUGCGAGUGUAGAGGUGAAAUUCGUAGAUAUUCGCAAGAACACCAGUGGCGAAGGCGGCUUACUGGUCCGGUUCUGACGCUGAGGCGCGAAAGCGUGGGGAGCAAACAGGAUUAGAUACCCUGGUAGUCCACGCCGUAAACGAUGGAUGCUAGCCGUUGGACAGCUUGCUGUUCAGUGGCGCAGAAAACUCAUUAAGCAUCCCGCCUGG
This 487-nucleotide ribosomal RNA is filed under the name Chelatococcus asaccharovorans. RNAcentral's name for it is "bacterial SSU rRNA". It matches the Rfam family "Bacterial small subunit ribosomal RNA", at positions 371 to 876 of the family's 1533-position model. The record is from RNAcentral. Lineage: Bacteria; Pseudomonadati; Pseudomonadota; Alphaproteobacteria; Hyphomicrobiales; Chelatococcaceae.